This 614-nucleotide ribosomal RNA is filed under the name uncultured Verrucomicrobiota bacterium. RNAcentral describes it as "bacterial SSU rRNA". It matches the Rfam family "Bacterial small subunit ribosomal RNA", at positions 77 to 680 of the family's 1533-position model. The record is from RNAcentral. Lineage: Bacteria; Pseudomonadati; Verrucomicrobiota.
UAGCAAUACGAUGGAAAGUCUAGUGGCGAACGGGUGCUUAACACGUGGGCAACCUGCCAGGAAGUGGGGGGAUAGCUCGCCGAAAGGCGAAUUAAUACCGCAUGUGCCCCGAAGCAAUUCGGGGUAAAGCCGGGGCAACCUGGCGCCUUUAGAUGAGCUCGCGGCCUAUCAGCUUGUUGGUAAGGUAACGGCUUACCAAGGCUUCGACGGGUAGCUGGUCUGAGAGGACGACCAGCCACACUGGAACUGAGACACGGUCCAGACACCUACGGGUGGCAGCAGUCGAGAAUUUUUCUCAAUGGGGGAAACCCUGAAGGAGCGACGCCGCGUGGAGGAUGAAGGCUUUCGGGUUGUAAACUCCUGUCAUUUGGGAACAACACCUUACGUUAACUGCGUGGAGGUUUGAUAGUACCAGAAGAGGAAGAGACGGCUAACUCUGUGCCAGCAGCCGCGGUAAUACAGAGGUCUCAAGCGUUGUUCGGAUUCAUUGGGCGUAAAGGGCGCGUAGGCUGCGGGGCAAGUCGGGUGUGAAAUCUCAGAGCUCAACUCUGAAACUGCACUCGAUACUGCUUUGCUUGAGGACUGGAGAGGAGAUUGGAAUUCACGGUGUAGCA